RNAcentral lists this unclassified non-coding RNA (863 nucleotides) under Hevea brasiliensis (rubber tree). The record is from RNAcentral. Lineage: Eukaryota; Viridiplantae; Streptophyta; Magnoliopsida; Malpighiales; Euphorbiaceae.
CAGGCCAUUUUCUUCAGAUGGUGGUAUGACAAUGUUUAGUUUUAAUGAAUUUUCUUCAUAUGCAUAUUCACGCAUAUGUAUAAUAUGAUAUUAGCUCUGUUGUACUUAUGGAGCCACUUCUAUGUAGCCCAGGACUUCAUUGAUGAAGCUAGUCCGUCUAAUUCCAACAUAAGUAAUUCUUUAUGAAGCUCUUGGGAAGUUUGUUGUCACAGGAAGGGCAUUGCAUAUAGUAUGAUUUGAAUCAAGUGGAUGAAUUAGUUGAUUAUAUUACAGAGUUUUUCAUUGUAUUUUGUAUUGUUCCAUUGACAAUUGGCUUCAUAAUUCAUGAACUCAUUACUCUUUAUCUAGGAUAUGAGUAUUUUAGCACUUACCUGAGUCGUUUCUAAGUAGCCUGCAAGGACUUGAUUGAUGAGGCUUUUUCCUACUAAUUCCUACGUGUACAAUUUUUUAAGAAGCUUUUGGGAAAGUUAUUUUAACAAUAAGGGCAUUGUUUAUGGUAAGUUUUCAAGUAAGUAGACGAAUCAACUUUUGGUAGUGAUUGUUACAAUUGUUAUUGUUUAAUACUUGGUUAGCUGCAUUCUUGUAAGUUACAACAUCUUGUAUAUGACGGGGAUGGAUGGUUUACUGCCACUUUCAUUGAUACACCAUUGAAGAAGAAGCAAUUAGCUUUUUUUUGGCUUUUCGGUAGAAUGGUCUGGGUGUUGAACCUAUGACUUGCAACUGCUUGAAAAGGAAGCUAUUGGCUUUUGAAGGAACCUGCAGCUGUUUCAUUUUACAGUUUUAUUUUAUCUCACAGUUUGAUGAUGAUUUCAUAUUGUGUAUCUGAUGCAGGGGAUUCAGUUGAUGUUGUUGUCCCUUUUAUG